AACAAAAAUCGCUUAACGACAUCAUAUACUAAAAAGCUAAAGAGGUAAAAAAAAUUAAAAUUUGCGAAAAAAUGUAUACCUAGAGUCCAAAAUUCUGUAUCGAUCAGUACCUAUAUAUCACAACACAGAAGAAAAAAUAUUUAUUGAGAUAUGGAGCUUCAAAAAUUCAUGAUAUUGAAAGUGUUCUUCCAGGCAAAAUCACAAAAUGAGUACAAGCAUAAAUAGUAUAUACAAGCACUAAACUAUCAAAGUAUGACUACUACUGACAGCAUAAAAACAGGACUGCAUUGGACACAACGAGGAGAUCGUCUUGGAUGUAUCUGGCUGCACUGUACAACAUAGGUCCGAGGUGGUUAUACUGCUGGAGACUGCCGGAAUCCCCGGAUCUCAAGAAUCAAAGGAGUAUAUUUAGAGGAAUGUAAAACAAACAGCCUUGAGCUUCCUUGAUUGGUUUCUGGAAAUAGGAUUUCAAUAGAAGUUGUAGGCUUUUAGUUCAGCAAACCCUAGGGUAACAACCUUUAUUUUAUUUUUCCUAUUGAAGCAACCAUUAGAAAGAGAAGAAAGUUCCAGAACCGUGACACUCCGAUUUCUUUAUCCAGUGACAAUUUAUGUUUAAUAGUGAUAAUUCAGCAGUUUCAUUUAUUCAGCUAGGUUAUAGAGGUGCAAAACUCUAUUAAAACUUUCAAGUAACUCGUA
Molecule: long non-coding RNA, 696 nt
Organism: Leptinotarsa decemlineata (Colorado potato beetle)
Lineage: Eukaryota; Metazoa; Arthropoda; Insecta; Coleoptera; Chrysomelidae
Source: RefSeq, a predicted model, not a curated record